CUAAACGUCCGUAGCCGGUCUGAUACAUUCGUGGGUAAAUCAACCAGCUUAACUGGUUGAAUUCUGCGAGGACGGUCAGACUUGGGACCGGGAGAGGUGUGGGGUACGCUCAGGGUAGGGGUAAAAUCCUGUCAUCCUGAGCGGACCACCUGUUGCGAAGGCGCCACACUAGAACGGAUCCGACGGUCAGGGACGAAGCCUAGGGGCACGAACCGGAUUAGAUACCCGGGUAGUCCUAGGUGUAAACGCUGUGGACUUGAUGUUGGGGGUGCUCCGAGCGCUCUCAGUGUCGAAGCGAAGGUGAUAAGUCCACUGCCUGGGAAGUACGGUCGCAAGGCUGAAACUUAAAGGAAUUGGCGGGGGAG
This 365-nucleotide ribosomal RNA is filed under the name uncultured archaeon. RNAcentral describes it as "bacterial SSU rRNA". It matches the Rfam family "Archaeal small subunit ribosomal RNA", at positions 511 to 876 of the family's 1478-position model. The record is from RNAcentral.